GAUGCGGAAGGAUCAUUACCACACUUAAAAACUUUCCACGUGACCCGUUUCACCCCAAUAGUUGGGGGUCUUAUUUGGCGGCGGCUGCUGGCUUAAUUGUUGGCGGCUGCUGCUGAGUGAGCCCUAUCAAAAAAAAGGCGAACGUUUGGGCUUCGGCCUGAUUUAGUAGUCUUUUUUUCUUUUAAACCCAUUCCUUAAUACUGAAUAUACUGUGGGGACGAAAGUCUCUGCUUUUAACUAGAUAGCAACUUUCAGCAGUGGAUGUCUAGGCUCGCACAUCGAUGAAGAACGCUGCGAACUGCGAUACGUAAUGCGAAUUGCAGGAUUCAGUGAGUCAUCGAAAUUUUGAACGCAUAUUGCACUUCCGGGUUAGUCCUGGAAGUAUGCCUGUAUCAGUGUCCGUACAUUAAACUUGACUUUCUUCCUUCCGUGUAGUCGGUGGAGGAGAUGUCAGAUGUGAAGUGUCUUGCGAUUGGUCUUCGGACCGGCUGCGAGUCCUUUUAAAUGUACUAAACUGAACUUCUCUUUGCUCGAAAAGUGGUGGCGUUGCUGGUUGUGAAGGCUGCUAUUGUGGCAAAUUGGCGACUGGUUUGUCUGCUGCGGCAUUAAUGGAAGAGUGUUCGAUUCGUGGUAUGGUUGGCUUCGGCUGAACAAUGCACUUAUUGGACGUUUUUCCUGCUGUGGCGUGAUGGACUGGUGAACCAUAGCUCGGUGGCUUGGCUUUUGAAUUGGCUUUGCUGUUGCGAAGUAGGGUGGCAGCUUCGGUUGUCGAGGGUCGAUCCAUUUGGGAACUUAAUGUGUACUUCGGUAUGCAUCUCAAUUGGACCUGAUA
This 832-nucleotide ribosomal RNA is filed under the name Phytophthora nicotianae (black shank of tobacco agent). RNAcentral's name for it is "eukaryotic LSU rRNA". The stretch from base 247 to 401 matches the Rfam family "5.8S ribosomal RNA". Lineage: Eukaryota; Oomycota; Peronosporomycetes; Peronosporales; Peronosporaceae. The record is from RNAcentral.